This 305-nucleotide ribosomal RNA is filed under the name uncultured bacterium. Its description in RNAcentral is "bacterial SSU rRNA". It matches the Rfam family "Bacterial small subunit ribosomal RNA", at positions 335 to 657 of the family's 1533-position model. The record is from RNAcentral.
GUCCUACGGGGGGCAGCAGUCGGGAAUAUUGCGCAAUGGAGGAAACUCUGACGCAGUGACGCCGCGUGCAGGAAGAAGGUUUUCGGAUCGUAAACUGCUUUAGACAGGGAAGAUAAAAGACAGUACCUGUAGAAUAAGCUCCGGCUAACUACGUGCCAGCAGCCGCGGUAAUACGUAGGGAGCAAGCGUUAUCCGGAUUUACUGGGUGUAAAGGGAGCGUAGACGGCAGCGCAAGUCUGGAGUGAAAUGCCGGGGCCCAACCCCGGAACUGCUCUGGAAACUGUGAAGCUGGAGUGCAGGAGUGG